GCACUGAGGUAAUACAAGACUUGCAUCACAUUUUCACGUUUAGCAGGAAGUGCAGCAAGGGCUGAGGCUCAGGUCAUUAGCUGCACUCAUUUGCCGACCUGGCCCCGCACAAAGCCGUGGAGGAGCCAGGCACGGUCCACGCAGAUCUGACAGUCUUCAUUCCUGUCUCAUCAAACUUGAGAUUAUUCUUGAAGGACAGCUUUGCUUUACAUUUGACAAUGCCUGAAACGUCUUUUGUUUGUCUUUUAUAAUUUUCCAGUUCAACAUUUCAUGGAGAGUGAAUUUUAACAGAGAGGUAAAGGCGGUUUUCACCUUACAGCAGGCAGUUUCUUUUCGCUGAAAAACUUUAAUCCAAUGUUGUCUGUGUGUCUGUCUCUGGUUUCCUUUAGAAAUAAAGCUUCUCAAGUUUAGGGAUGCAUGUGCCGUUUUCUCCAGCAGUGGCUUUUCUCCUUUUCUUAGUGCAGCGGUCACUGCGUUUCCUUCCCGUCUGAGGUUCAGGGGCUCAAACCCAGGAAGGCGCACCCAGGGUGCGCACCGGCCCCGAGGACCGCGGGGCUCCGACUGAUUCCGCGUGGAUUCCGAGUGCGGUCUGGAGGUCUGAGUCCCCAAAGAGGCGGACUUGAAGAUAGCUUUAGAUCAGGACGUUUCAUGAGAUUUCCCCUUGCUUUCCUCCCCUGCAGGUCCUAGUUUUCACCUCCCACGUCCAGAGGAGCGGGUUCGUCGUCGUUCUGUCGCGUCCGGCGUGCUGCCGU
RNAcentral lists this long non-coding RNA (752 nucleotides) under Capra hircus (goat). RNAcentral's name for it is "lncRNA (ENSCHIG00010003454.1)". The record is from RNAcentral. Lineage: Eukaryota; Metazoa; Chordata; Mammalia; Artiodactyla; Bovidae.